AUGAAGGCCAACGGAUUGGAGUUCCUGCUAGAUUUGAUCAACUUGUGCGCAUCCAGAUGCGGUGCCCCCUGCUGUGGCAACGAUGACUCCAUGAGGGCGGUUUCAGCAGACGGUGCUCUCCGAAGGUUGCGCUGGACUAGGUCGGAUGAUGGUGCAGUAGCCAUUGUACUUAAGAACUUAAAGGCUGAUCUCGGCAACAUACGCAACGAGGUUAUCAGAAUGAUUGCUGGCAUGUCUGAAGAUCAAACAUGCAUUGCCACCUGGGAUGUGCCUGAAACAGUUGAAGGGAAAAUGGAGGAUCGAUGCCUGAAAACAGGAGUUCAUGUGCAGAACAAAGAAGCAGAGAUGAAGAGGUGUCAAGAUAAAGGAACUCACAUGGGAAAUUCUGAAUCUUCAAGGCUCGUUUCAUUACUAGUUUGGAAGGCCAGGAAGUUCUACUUCUGGCAUAAGCCAACGGAGCAUCGGUCGAAGAAGGCCGAUGCGCCUCGUGCCAGCUCCGGGCAUUGCCGGAGGCCCUACCUGUUCUUCCACCGCCCCUGUGUACUCACCAUCGAGCCUAUCCAUGCACAGCUCUAG
Molecule: ribosomal RNA, 576 nt
Filed under: Triticum aestivum (bread wheat)
Lineage: Eukaryota; Viridiplantae; Streptophyta; Magnoliopsida; Poales; Poaceae
Description: partial small subunit ribosomal RNA
Source: RNAcentral